AACGUCGUGAUUGUAUCAAGCUUAGAGUUUGAUCCUGGCUCAGGAUGAACGCUAGCGGCAGGCCUAACACAUGCAAGUCGAGGGGUAUAGAGAGCUUGCUUUCUAGAGACCGGCGGAUGGGUGAGUAACGCGUAUGCAACCUACCUUUUACAGGGGAAUAGCCCGGAGAAAUUCGGAUUAAUGCUCCAUGGUUUAUAUGAACGGCAUCGUUUGUAUAAUAAAGAUUUAUCGGUAAAAGAUGGGCAUGCGUAUCAUUAGCUAGUUGGUGUGGUAACGGCAUACCAAGGCUACGAUGAUUAGGGGUCCUGAGAGGGAGAUCCCCCACACUGGUACUGAGACACGGACCAGACUCCUACGGGAGGCAGCAGUGAGGAAUAUUGGUCAAUGGAGGCAACUCUGAACCAGCCAUGCCGCGUGCAGGAUGACGGUCCUAUGGAUUGUAAACUGCUUUUGUACGGGAAGAAAUGUAAUUACGUGUAAUUAUUUGACGGUACCGUAAGAAUAAGGAUCGGCUAACUCCGUGCCAGCAGCCGCGGUAAUACGGAGGAUCCGAGCGUUAUCCGGAAUUAUUGGGUUUAAAGGGUUCGUAGGCGGUUGAGUAAGUCAGUGGUGAAAUCUUAUAGCUUAACUAUAAAAUUGCCGUUGAUACUGCUUGACUUGAAUAGUAUGGAAGUAAUUAGAAUAUGUAGUGUAGCGGUGAAAUGCUUAGAUAUUACAUGGAAUACCAAUUGCGAAGGCAGAUUACUACGUACUUAUUGACGCUGAUGAACGAAAGCGUGGGUAGCGAACAGGAUUAGAUACCCUGGUAGUCCACGCCGUAAACGAUGGAUACUAGCUGUUCGGUUUUCGGACUGAGUGGCUAAGCGAAAGUGAUAAGUAUCCCACCUGGGGAGUACGUUCGCAAGAAUGAAACUCAAAGGAAUUGACGGGGCCCGCACAAGCGGUGGAGCAUGUGGUUUAUUCGAUGAUACGCGAGGAACCUUACCAAGGCUUAAAUGUAGAUUGACAGGUUUAGAGAAAGACUUUUCUUCGGACAAUUUACAAGUGU
RNAcentral lists this ribosomal RNA (1048 nucleotides) under uncultured Flavobacterium sp. RNAcentral describes it as "bacterial SSU rRNA". It matches the Rfam family "Bacterial small subunit ribosomal RNA", at positions 1 to 1041 of the family's 1533-position model. Lineage: Bacteria; Pseudomonadati; Bacteroidota; Flavobacteriia; Flavobacteriales; Flavobacteriaceae. The record is from RNAcentral.